AUGCGCGCAUGGGACAGGCUGGGACACCUCCACGACGCGGGGGGUGCCACAGCCCCUGCCCUGGGCCCCAGCCCUCCGCUCGGAGCUGCCGCGCGCUGCUCCUUCCCGUUGCGUUGCGAGCGCGGGACGGAGCCACGCUUCCCUGGGGCUGGUCCCCAUCCCCGUGCCGGCACCGCUCGUGCAGGAGCCGUGCACCAGCACCGUGCUGCCUGCGACCAGCCCCACGGCCGCUGGUCCCGCAGUCGGUGGCAGUGCACAGCGGCACGGCGCUUGCGCGUGGCCCCGUGCCGGGGGUGCCCGGUGCCUGCAGCUGCUGCCACCAGGGCCUGCGCGAAGGUGCGCGUGGUGCGGGGGCACCGUGGCAGCAUGUGUGUGAUACCGGGGGGUCCCCUACCAUCCGAGAAGGUGCUUUGGGGCUGUACAAGGUGUUUGGGAAUUUCCUUCCUAUCGCACCCCUUUUCCCCCCAGCUUCAGCCAAAACCUGUCAGCACCGUGGCUGCAACCCAGCCCCACGGCAGCCAAAAACCCACCACUUUUGUCCACUCCCCUCUGUUAUUCCCAGCUCAGAGCCAUCUGUCACCGCCGCCCCCAUCUCUGUCAGCGUUUCAGCCCCAAACCUCUGCACACCCAUGCCACAGCCCCCAGCCCAGCCGGGGCCAUGGGCAUCCCCGUGCCGCUGGUGUCCCCUCACUGCAACUGUCCCCGUGCCGCCAGCAUCCCUCACCACAACUGUCCCCGUGCCGUGGCUGUCCCCGUGCCACCGGCGUCCCCUCACCGUGGCUGUCCCCGUGCCGCGGCUGUCCCCGUGCCACCGGCGUCCCCUCACCGCGGCUGUCCCCACGCAGCGGGCACCUUGCUGCGCCCUGGUGCCGCGGUGCCGGCGGCCGCGGGAGCUGCCCAGGGCACAGGGCAGCGCUGCGGGACAGGGGUCCGCAGGGGGGAUGGUGGCACCGGGGGUCCGCAGGGCCCGGCCUGCACGGCGUGGGGCCACGCGGGGCGGCCAAGCCAGCCCUGGGGACGGCGGCCCGGCGCCUCUCUUGGCCGAGCCGUGCGCGGGCUGGCGGCCCCGUGGCUCUGUCCCCCGCGCGCUUGGGGCAGGCUCCAAGGGGUCGUCCCCACGAGCCCCGCGGGAGGGUCAGACACGCAGCAGUCCCUCUCUGGGCCGGGGGACGCAGCACGGGCUGCCCGGCCCAGCUGGGAGCCAAGCCUCCAGUUAUUUAUUUUUACACAUUGUACUACGAUUCCCGUUUUCUACUUUGUUUGUACCUUUUGUAUCGUGUCUCGCUGAGCUGCAUGUAUUGGGCGCUGCUCAUCGGCCUGCACACCGGGCUGCUCCAGCACGGCCUGGACCCAAGUGCCAACUUUCAAAGAAAUGCCUUAAUAAACCACACUUGUUUGUACAGAGAUGAGCACGGUUGCUGCUGCUGGUGCCGGUGCUGGGGGAGGCGCUGGCGGGGCGGGAGAAGGCCCAGGCCCUGCGGGGCUCGGCAGGGGCUCGCUGGCCUGAGACGCCCUCUGCCCCCAGGCCCCCAGGCGGGGUCUGCGCCUGCGCUUGGCUCUGGGCGCUUGCCUGGGCAGGAGGGCCAGGCCCUGCUGCGGCCGGGGCUGGGUUUGGCCCUUGUGGCAGCCCUGCUGCCCGGCCGAGGGUGCCUGACCUCAGCCUCAGCAACACGUUCGGCUGGCAUGCGAGGUGUGGGUAGUUCAGCCUCGAGCACAGCGGAGGACGUGAAGAGCCUGAGCACAGCACCGCUGGCCCAGCUCAGGUGCCCUGACUCCUCCGGUGGCACGCGGGGACAGCUCUGCGGGGUGGCUGCAUGGGCUGCAGUGCACGCGCAUUGCUGCAGUGCACAUACAGUGCUGCGCUGCACACGCAUUGCUGCAGUGCACACGCAUUGCUGCAGUGCACGCGCGUUGUUGCAGUGUACGCGUGUUGUUGCAGUGCACACAUUGCUGCAGUGCACACGCGUUGUUGCAGUGCAUGCACAUUGCUGCAGUGCACGCGCAUUGCUGCAGUGCACACACAUUGCUGCAGUGCACACGUGUUGUUACAGUGUACGUGCGUUGUUGCAGUGCACGCGCAUUGCUGCAGUGCACGCGCAUUGCUGCAGUGCACGCGCGUUGCUGCCGUGCACGCGCGUUGUUACAGUGUACGUGCGUUGUUGCAGUGCACGCGCAUUGCUGCAUGCAUGGCCCUGGCUCGGCCACUGCCUGUGGCCAGGCCGCACACACACUCGUUCAUGA
Molecule: long non-coding RNA, 2241 nt
Filed under: Apteryx haastii (Great spotted kiwi)
Lineage: Eukaryota; Metazoa; Chordata; Aves; Apterygiformes; Apterygidae
Description: lncRNA (ENSAHAG00000016441.1)
Source: RNAcentral